Molecule: ribosomal RNA, 200 nt
Filed under: uncultured prokaryote
Description: partial 16S ribosomal RNA
Rfam family: Bacterial small subunit ribosomal RNA
Source: RNAcentral
CGUCAAAUCAUCAUGCCCCUUAUGUUCUGGGCUACACACGUACUACAAUGGCGAUUAACAACGGGAAGCUAAGCCGCGAGGUGGAGCAAAUCCCCAAAAAUCGUCCCAGUUCGGAUUGUAGGCUGAAACUCGCCUGCAUGAAGUUGGAAUUGCUAGUAAUCGCGGAUCAGCAUGCCGCGGUGAAUACGUUCCCGGGCCUU